UAUGUGAUGAUGAUUCACGCUCUGACUCCAAUAUCGAGAAGUCCAAGAAUCUGAUAUUUUACAGCUCCUCCCGCUGCACAGAGUGCAAGGACAGAUCCAGCACUGCUCUAAAGCCAGAGCACAUCACGAGGGCUCCAAUAACUGCAUUAUCACUUAUUAACUGCACUGUAUAAGGAACAGUCUUGUCUCUUUGGGCCUUCACUCCUGUCAAGUGGUGAAACAAGCCAGCAAUGUUUAACUGUAUGCCUUAGUAGAUUGACUAUUCUCGUAUUCAUUACUACAUCAUCAGCAACCGUUCUUGAAGGGGAGGCAAAAUAUUGAAGGCUCAUUAGCGGGUUCUGCUUAUAAGAUAAUAAAAUUGAAGACAUAAAAAUCUAAAUAAAGUCAGUGGGGACAAAUACUAUUUUCAUCAUUUUUUCCUUUUUUCAGGUACUGGAGAACUGUUUGCUGGAGGGGGUUAGACGUUUAUUCUCAUUAGAUUCAGGACCUCAAAUGAACUAACGUCAUGACGAGAGGCAGACUCCAGACAUCAUAUCGGCUCUUGAUAGGACCUGUCUGGCCCACAAAAGAGAAAGGAUAUGGGUGAAGAUUAGAGAGUUCACCACUAAACACAAGCCCGUGGUGUACUGUGCUGAGAAUCAGUCGUCUCCUGAACAGACAAACAGCGACCCGCCGUCACCUCUCUAAUGUCCAGCAGAUGGCUGUUAUAGGCGUGAACUGCAGGCGGGGUUGGCAGACCUCAGCUACUACAGCGUCAGCGUGACCCGGCACAAGAGAAUUCCCUUCAUCUCCUCCAUCUAAAACACUCACCACACACGCCGCUACCUGGUAGAGCCAUCUGUUUUGAUUGGUCAAAAGCUGCACUUUACAGUAAUGUAUCAGUUUAACUCCACAGAGUGUGAUAGCCAAGGGCAACAGUUAUUUUUGAACUUCAGUCAGUAGAACUUUCUGUGCUCAAAAUC
Molecule: long non-coding RNA, 962 nt
Filed under: Carassius auratus (goldfish)
Lineage: Eukaryota; Metazoa; Chordata; Actinopteri; Cypriniformes; Cyprinidae
Description: lncRNA (ENSCARG00000016573.1)
Source: RNAcentral